UUAAUUCCUUGCUGCUCAUUUUCAUUCCUUCUGAUGUCUUACUAAUUGGAAAAACAAUAUCGUUUGCAGUAACUUCAACUUAAUUAGACUUCUUUGCCCGAACAUCUAACUUCCGGGGCGUUAGCCCAGUAAUGGUAGAGACUGAUAAUAAUAAGCAAACAUCUUUUUUACUUGGCAGACACAAAAACAAUACAAACUAAUGUGAAUGUUACAUGUUACGUAAUCUUGAAAAAUGUUAACAAGUAAACAAAUUUAACUUGCAUCUCAAUCAGACACCCUACGAACUCCCAAAAGUAGAUCUACAAUUUGCUACACAAGAAGAUAAAAUAUCUAAUGGUACAAUUCACUCUGAAGUAAAUCAAUAAUAGAGUGCGCUGAAGCCCACCAAUCAGCUGAAGUAAUGCAGGCAUAAUGAUGUAACAUCCCAUGAUUAAGGAAUCAUUGCAGCUAGAUCGAAAUGAUGAAACCAGCUCUUGAAUUUGCCAUACAUGAUCCAGACUAUGUCUAUUAACAUUUGCGGGAAUGUCAGAAUAUCUUUUAAUAGCAGAUUCAUCUUCAGAGCAAACGGAACUUGCUCCAUUUCAGUUAGACCACACAUGAACCAAUCCAUGCCUAUUACCAGUGUAGAUCUCAUUCCGCUCUUCGUCAUAGAAAAGUGCAGUUAUGUCUUCCAAAGCCUCUGCAACUGUACUUCUGAUAGGUGAAUGACUGCGCUUAGAGCUACUGCCACUGCACUCAUCACGUUUCGGAUUGCCAUUGCUUGCGUUUAUUUUGGCCAAGCACUUACCUGUCAAGAUGUUGCUGACAUUGAUAGAACCAGCUGCAUCAAAAAAAAGCAAAUUAUGAUGUGAAAUGAAAUAACUUCCCUUAUGCUAACAUUCUCUUUGGUACAUCACAAUGAAGAAAAGAGCCAAAUAAUCUUGAAUGAGCAAAGAAACAAUCAGAAUGAGAUCAAAAUAUCUAUUAAGAUCCAGCAAUUUAUCAACCACCAGGCUAUCCGGGUACUCUUCCACUACAUUGACAUGCUCCUCUUUAUAUCUACAGACUGUCUCCUUUAUAAUAACUCUCAACAUUAUAGGAAAAAGAGGAUAAAUAGUCUGAUAGUUUCAACCAAUUAAAUGAUAUUCAAGUUAGCAAGAUUCUGGCACUCUGCCAGCGGAAAUCAUAAACUGCCUAAACACUGAUAAUAGUUGCCAACCAAAACAGUAGCAUGAAAAAUUACCAUUUCCUUCCAUCCACUGGUCCUCAGAUUCAGCUUUGCAGUAAGAAAUAAUAAGAUCCUGAUCACUUGUUAUAUAUAUGUUAUUUGUGUUACAGUCAGGAUGCCAUAACAGGUGAUCCUCAAAUGAAGUUACAAGCUCCCCACGAAAAUUCCAAACAGCAACAGUUCUAUUUCUGAAAGUUAGGAACAGCUGGUUCUCAUAAAGAAAGAUAAAUGCUGAGGGAGUCAUGAACUCAGUCCUGCUAACUUCCAUUAGCUCUGCAUUUCGAACAUCAAGGAUCUGAAGAUUCUCAUUUUCCUGCUUAACAAGGAGCUUUUCAUUAAAUUGUUCAAUGAAGUCCACCUUCUUAUUUCGAUGAAGCAGAUGGUUGAAGGCUUUUAGAACUGUGCCAUCUUCUAUCGAUAAAAUUUUAAGAGGAACAUGGCUACUUGCUCUAUUGAAUAUCAACAACAUUAUUCCUGGACUGAUUUUGAUUUCUUGCACAUGUUUGUCUGAUAUAGAGUACAGCAUUGUAUAGUUUUUAAGGUCAAAAACCUUGUAAACGCUGACCACAAAAAUUUAUUAAAAAAGAAUGUUAGAAUUGGUAAUGAAACAUUUUGCAGUCACACAGAAAGAAGAUGAAAGGUACCUGUCUUGGGCAGAGUAGGUUAGGACCUUUCCAUUAACAUCAUCAAAUUCUACAAACCCUGGCCACUUCAAGGACUCAGACUCAAAAAGAGCAAAACCAGCAUCUGGCUUGCCCCUCCUUAUAUACUCAAUUCUAGUUGAUCUGCAUUUCAAGGAGCUAAAGUUGUCUGAAGCAUAAACUGAAACUGUGAUGAGUGAAUCAUUGUUCUUAUUAUAGAACAAGCUUCGAAUGACUUCAUCAGGACUCACAUUCAGAAAACAUAUCCUUUGAUUUGACUCUCUACUAAAAGCUGCACAAACACCAGAAUGUGCAAGAGCAAAGACAAUAUCACGUGCAGCUACAAUCUCAAUGACUUUUGUUCUCUUCAUCAAAAAGGGCAGCACUACCGAACAAUGGCCCUUGGGAUCAUGAGUAUCAUACUCCUCCAUCAAACUCAUAUUGCGAAACCUCUCCUGGGAAUUGCUCAUACUGAAAGCACGAUCUCGCUUAGACGAAAUCUCGCGUCUCUGCAACUUCUUAACAGUGUUAGAAAAUCCAUUGGUGCGAGGCCUUUUCUUCGCCAAUAUCCUCCUUCCCGAGCAUGGCCUUGGAUUCGCCGAUAUCCUCCUUCCUUCCAUCCUCCUAAACUACUUGUAUUUCACCGCCAGACCCGAGAGACGGAGAAGGAAAAUCAACACUCCCUCCCUCUCAAUCUCUCUCCACCUUUAAUUUUAAUUCUAUCCUAGUAACAAAAACCCUAAAACAGAAGAAAGAAAGAAAGAAGAAUACCUCACUGCUCAACCUCGAGGCCAAACCCUAAAUUAUAGAAACAGAAAAGAAAGC
RNAcentral lists this unclassified non-coding RNA (2673 nucleotides) under Hevea brasiliensis (rubber tree). The record is from RNAcentral. Lineage: Eukaryota; Viridiplantae; Streptophyta; Magnoliopsida; Malpighiales; Euphorbiaceae.